GGGAUCAUGGUCUAUCUUGAUAUGAUACUCGCCUGGGGAUCUAUAUGGUCGCAGGCUCAAAUCUUGCUGAUUCCA
This 75-nucleotide transfer RNA is filed under the name Nitrososphaerota archaeon. RNAcentral's name for it is "Thaumarchaeota archaeon tRNA-Pro". Lineage: Archaea; Thermoproteati; Nitrososphaerota. The record is from RNAcentral.